AAUCUUGGACAAUGGGGGCAACCCUGAUCCAGCCAUGCCGCGUGAGUGAUGAAGGCCUUAGGGUCGUAAAGCUCUUUCGCCAGGGAUGAUAAUGACAGUACCUGGUAAAGAAACCCCGGCUAACUCCGUGCCAGCAGCCGCGGUAAUACGGAGGGGGUUAGCGUUGUUCGGAAUUACUGGGCGUAAAGCGCGCGUAGGCGGACUGGAAAGUUGGGGGUGAAAUCCCAGGGCUCAACCCUGGAACUGCCUCCAAAACUAUCAGUCUAGAGUUCGAGAGAGGUGAGUGGAAUUCCGAGUGUAGAGGUGAAAUUCGUAGAUAUUCGGAGGAACACCAGUGGCGAAGGCGGCUCACUGGCUCGAUACUGACGCUGAGGUGCGAAAGUGUGGGGAGCAAACAGGAUUAGAUACCCUGGUAGUCCACACCGUA
RNAcentral lists this ribosomal RNA (427 nucleotides) under uncultured marine bacterium. RNAcentral describes it as "bacterial SSU rRNA". It matches the Rfam family "Bacterial small subunit ribosomal RNA", at positions 360 to 804 of the family's 1533-position model. The record is from RNAcentral.